This 2903-nucleotide ribosomal RNA is filed under the name Shigella flexneri K-218. RNAcentral describes it as "23S ribosomal RNA". The record is from RNAcentral. Lineage: Bacteria; Pseudomonadati; Pseudomonadota; Gammaproteobacteria; Enterobacterales; Enterobacteriaceae.
AAGGUUAAGCCUCACGGUUCAUUAGUACCGGUUAGCUCAACGCAUCGCUGCGCUUACACACCCGGCCUAUCAACGUCGUCGUCUUCAACGUUCCUUCAGGACCCUUAAAGGGUCAGGGAGAACUCAUCUCGGGGCAAGUUUCGUGCUUAGAUGCUUUCAGCACUUAUCUCUUCCGCAUUUAGCUACCGGGCAGUGCCAUUGGCAUGACAACCCGAACACCAGUGAUGCGUCCACUCCGGUCCUCUCGUACUAGGAGCAGCCCCCCUCAGUUCUCCAGCGCCCACGGCAGAUAGGGACCGAACUGUCUCACGACGUUCUAAACCCAGCUCGCGUACCACUUUAAAUGGCGAACAGCCAUACCCUUGGGACCUACUUCAGCCCCAGGAUGUGAUGAGCCGACAUCGAGGUGCCAAACACCGCCGUCGAUAUGAACUCUUGGGCGGUAUCAGCCUGUUAUCCCCGGAGUACCUUUUAUCCGUUGAGCGAUGGCCCUUCCAUUCAGAACCACCGGAUCACUAUGACCUGCUUUCGCACCUGCUCGCGCCGUCACGCUCGCAGUCAAGCUGGCUUAUGCCAUUGCACUAACCUCCUGAUGUCCGACCAGGAUUAGCCAACCUUCGUGCUCCUCCGUUACUCUUUAGGAGGAGACCGCCCCAGUCAAACUACCCACCAGACACUGUCCGCAACCCGGAUCACGGGUCCACGUUAGAACAUCAAACAUUAAAGGGUGGUAUUUCAAGGUCGGCUCCAUGCAGACUGGCGUCCACACUUCAAAGCCUCCCACCUAUCCUACACAUCAAGGCUCAAUGUUCAGUGUCAAGCUAUAGUAAAGGUUCACGGGGUCUUUCCGUCUUGCCGCGGGUACACUGCAUCUUCACAGCGAGUUCAAUUUCACUGAGUCUCGGGUGGAGACAGCCUGGCCAUCAUUACGCCAUUCGUGCAGGUCGGAACUUACCCGGCAAGGAAUUUCGCUACCUUAGGACCGUUAUAGUUACGGCCGCCGUUUACCGGGGCUUCGAUCAAGAGCUUCGCUUGCGCUAACCCCAUCAAUUAACCUUCCGGCACCGGGCAGGCGUCACACCGUAUACGUCCACUUUCGUGUUUGCACAGUGCUGUGUUUUUAAUAAACAGUUGCAGCCAGCUGGUAUCUUCGACUGAUUUCAGCUCCACGAGCAAGUCGCUUCACCUACGUAUCAGCGUGCCUUCUCCCGAAGUUACGGCACCAUUUUGCCUAGUUCCUUCACCCGAGUUCUCUCAAGCGCCUUGGUAUUCUCUACCUGACCACCUGUGUCGGUUUGGGGUACGAUUUGAUGUUACCUGAUGCUUAGAGGCUUUUCCUGGAAGCAGGGCAUUUGUUGCUUCAGCACCGUAGUGCCUCGUCAUCACGCCUCGGCCUUGAUUUUCCGGAUUUGCCUGGAAAACCAGCCUACACGCUUAAACCGGGACAACCGUCGCCCGGCCAACAUAGCCUUCUCCGUCCCCCCUUCGCAGUAACACCAAGUACAGGAAUAUUAACCUGUUUCCCAUCGACUACGCCUUUCGGCCUCGCCUUAGGGGUCGACUCACCCUGCCCCGAUUAACGUUGGACAGGAACCCUUGGUCUUCCGGCGAGCGGGCUUUUCACCCGCUUUAUCGUUACUUAUGUCAGCAUUCGCACUUCUGAUACCUCCAGCAUACCUCACAGCACACCUUCACAGGCUUACAGAAUGCUCCCCUACCCAACAACGCAUAAAGCGUCGCUGCCGCAGCUUCGGUGCAUGGUUUAGCCCCGUUACAUCUUCCGCGCAGGCCGACUCGACCAGUGAGCUAUUACGCUUUCUUUAAAUGAUGGCUGCUUCUAAGCCAACAUCCUGGCUGUCUGGGCCUUCCCACAUCGUUUCCCACUUAACCAUGACUUUGGGACCUUAGCUGGCGGUCUGGGUUGUUUCCCUCUUCACGACGGACGUUAGCACCCGCCGUGUGUCUCCCGUAAUAACAUUCUCCGGUAUUCGCAGUUUGCAUCGGGUUGGUAAGUCGGGAUGACCCCCUUGCCGAAACAGUGCUCUACCCCCGGAGAUGAAUUCACGAGGCGCUACCUAAAUAGCUUUCGGGGAGAACCAGCUAUCUCCCGGUUUGAUUGGCCUUUCACCCCCAGCCACAAGUCAUCCGCUAAUUUUUCAACAUUAGUCGGUUCGGUCCUCCAGUUAGUGUUACCCAACCUUCAACCUGCCCAUGGCUAGAUCACCGGGUUUCGGGUCUAUACCCUGCAACUUAACGCCCAGUUAAGACUCGGUUUCCCUUCGGCUCCCCUAUUCGGUUAACCUUGCUACAGAAUAUAAGUCGCUGACCCAUUAUACAAAAGGUACGCAGUCACACGCCUAAGCGUGCUCCCACUGCUUGUACGUACACGGUUUCAGGUUCUUUUUCACUCCCCUCGCCGGGGUUCUUUUCGCCUUUCCCUCACGGUACUGGUUCACUAUCGGUCAGUCAGGAGUAUUUAGCCUUGGAGGAUGGUCCCCCCAUAUUCAGACAGGAUACCACGUGUCCCGCCCUACUCAUCGAGCUCACAGUAUGUGCAUUUUUGUGUACGGGGCUGUCACCCUGUAUCGCACGCCUUUCCAGACGCUUCCACUAACACACACACUGAUUCAGGCUCUGGGCUGCUCCCCGUUCGCUCGCCGCUACUGGGGGAAUCUCGGUUGAUUUCUUUUCCUCGGGGUACUUAGAUGUUUCAGUUCCCCCGGUUCGCCUCAUUAACCUAUGGAUUCAGUUAAUGAUAGUGUGACGAAUCACACUGGGUUUCCCCAUUCGGAAAUCGCCGGUUAUAACGGUUCAUAUCACCUUACCGACGCUUAUCGCAGAUUAGCACGUCCUUCAUCGCCUCUGACUGCCAGGGCAUCCACCGUGUACGCUUAGUCGCUUAA